Molecule: ribosomal RNA, 330 nt
Filed under: uncultured bacterium
Lineage: Bacteria
Description: bacterial SSU rRNA
Rfam family: Bacterial small subunit ribosomal RNA
Source: RNAcentral
GACGAACGCUGGCGGCGUGCUUAACACAUGCAAGUCACGGGGGCCCAGUAGCAAUACUGGGCAACCGGCGAACGGGUGCGUAACACGUGAGCAAUCUGCCGAUCUCUGGGGGAUAGCCGGCCCAACGGCCGGGUAAUACCGCAUACGCUCAUCGGGGGACAUCCCCCUGGUGAGGAAACCUCCGGGGGAGAUCGAGGAGCUCGCGACCUAUCAGCUAGUUGGCGAGGUAAUGGCUCACCAAGGCUACGACGGGUAGCUGGUCUGAGAGGAUGGCCAGCCACAUUGGGACUGCGACACGGCCCAGACUCCUACGGGAGGCUGCAGUCGAAG